Molecule: ribosomal RNA, 500 nt
Filed under: uncultured bacterium
Lineage: Bacteria
Description: bacterial SSU rRNA
Rfam family: Bacterial small subunit ribosomal RNA
Source: RNAcentral
CGAACGCUGGCGGCGUGCUUAACACAUGCAAGUCGAACGCGAAAGUUUCUUUCGGGAAACGAGUAGAGUGGCGCACGGGUGAGUAACGCGUAAGUAAUCUACCCUUGCAUCUGGGAUAACCCACCGAAAGGUGUGCUAAUACCGGAUACGUUUACAGUAUCGCAGGGUACUGUAAAGAAAGGUGGCCUCUUCAUGAAAGCUACUGUGCAGGGAGGAGCUUGCGUACCAUUAGCUAGUUGGUAGGGUAAUGGCCUACCAAGGCAACGAUGGUUAGCGGGUCUGAGAGGAUGAUCCGCCACACUGGAACUGGAACACGGACCAGACUCCUACGGGAGGCAGCAGUGAGGAAUAUUGCGCAAUGGGGGAAACCCUGACGCAGCGACGCCGCGUGGAUGAUGAAGGCUUUCGGGUCGUAAAAUCCUGUCAGAUGGGAAGAAAUGCAUAUAGACUAAUAUUUUAUAUGUUUGACGGUACCAUCAAAGGAAGCACCGGCUAACUCC